GAGGUAGAGGCUGCCAUGAGCUGUGAUUGUGCCAUUGCACUCCAGCCUGGGUGACAGACUGUCUCAAAAAAAAAAAUCAAUCUAAUUUAUAGAUAUUAAUUACAUAAAAAGAUUAAAGACUUCUGUUGCCUUGACAUGAGUAUUUGGCUAAAGUCUAAAGUGUUCAUUUUUAAAAUAUAUUCUGUAGCUAAAUAUUAACCUUAUUUGUCAUAGUAAUGCUUUUUCCUUUUCUCCCUUAGUGCAACAGGACAUAAAAUAUAUUCCCACAGAAGAUGUUUCAGAUCUACCAGUGGAAGAACAAUUGCGGAGACUACAAGAAGAAAGAACAUGUAAAGUGUGUAUGGACAAAGAAGUGUCCAUAGUGUUUAUUCCUUGUGGUCAUCUAGUAGUAUGCAAAGAUUGUGCUCCUUCUUUAAGAAAGUGUCCUAUUUGUAGGAGUACAAUCAAGGGUACAGUUCGUACAUUUCUUUCAUGAAGAAGAAACAAAACAUUGUCUAAACUUUAGAAUUAAUUUAUUAAAUGUAUUAUAACUUUAACUUUUAUUCUGAUUUGGUUUCCUUAAAAUUUUUAUUUAUUUACAACUCAAAAAAAAUUGUUUUGUGUAACAUAUUUAUAUAUGUAUCUAAACCAUAUGAACAUAUAUUUUUUAGAAACUAAGAGAAG
This 663-nucleotide small RNA is filed under the name Pongo abelii (Sumatran orangutan). RNAcentral's name for it is "retained intron". Lineage: Eukaryota; Metazoa; Chordata; Mammalia; Primates; Hominidae. The record is from RNAcentral.